Molecule: small RNA, 1023 nt
Filed under: Pongo abelii (Sumatran orangutan)
Lineage: Eukaryota; Metazoa; Chordata; Mammalia; Primates; Hominidae
Description: processed transcript
Source: RNAcentral
CCGCAUGGUCCUGGGCCGUUGGCGUCGGGAGCCGGAAGUAUGGGCGCUGAGUGGGAGCUGGGGGCCGAGGCUGGCGGGUCGCUGCUGCUGUGCGCCGCGCUGCUGGCGGCGGGGUGCGCCCUGGGCCUGCGCCUGGGCCGCGGGCGGGGGGCGGCGGACCGCGGGGUGCUCAUCUGGCUCUGCUACGACGCGCUGGUGCACUUCGCGCUGGAGAGAGUGGGCAAGACCACCAACCAGGAGAGUGCUGGGGUCCUGGGAUCCACAGAAUGGAAUUUCAAGAACACUGAUAAAUUGCUGUAGCACCAUUAAAAAAAAAAGAAAGAAAGUAAAAGGAAGGCCCUUUUGUCUACUUGUCUUUACUAGGAAACGUUGCAAAUUCCGAUGGCUUGAUUGCUUCUUUAUGGAAAGAAUAUGGCAAAGCUGAUGCAAGAUGGGUUUAUUUCGAUCCAACCAUUGUGUCUGUGGAAAUUCUGACCGUCGCCCUGGAUGGGUCUCUGGCAUUGUUCCUCAUUUAUGCCAUAGUCAAAGAAAAAUAUUACCGGCAUUUCCUGCAGAUCACCCUGUGCGUGUGCGAGUUGUAUGGCUGCUGGAUGACCUUCCUCCCAGAGUGGCUCACCAGAAGCCCCAACCUCAACACCAGCAACUGGCUCUACUGUUGGCUUUACCUGUUUUUCUUUAACGGUGUGUGGGUUCUGAUCCCAGGACUGCUACUGUGGCAGUCAUGGGUAGAACUCAAGAAAAUGCAUCAGAAAGAAAUCAGUUCAGUGAAAAAGUUUCAGUGAACUUUCAAAACCAUAAAUACCAUUAUCUAACUUCAUGAGCCAGAAUGAAUCAAAUCUUUUUGUUUGGCCAAAAUGUAAUACAUUCCAGUCUACACUUUGUUUUUGUAUUGUUGCUCCUGAACAACCUGUUUAAAAUUGGUUUUAAGGCGACCAGUUUUCGAUGUGUUGUUGUUCAAUUAAAUGGUGAUAUAGGGAAAAGAGAACAAAUUUGAAUUUGUAAUAAUAAAAUGUUUAUACAUUU